This 468-nucleotide ribosomal RNA is filed under the name uncultured bacterium. Its description in RNAcentral is "partial 16S ribosomal RNA". It matches the Rfam family "Bacterial small subunit ribosomal RNA", at positions 28 to 507 of the family's 1533-position model. The record is from RNAcentral.
GACGAACGCUGGCGGCGUGCUUAACACAUGCAAGUCGAACGGAAAGGCCCUGCUUUUGUGGGGUGCUCGAGUGGCGAACGGGUGAGUAACACGUGAGUAACCUGCCCUUGACUUUGGGAUAACUUCAGGAAACUGGGGCUAAUACCGGAUAGGAGCUCCUGCUGCAUGUUGGGGGUUGGAAAUUUUCGGCGGUUGGGGAUGGACUCGCGGCUUGUCAGCUUGUUGGUGGGGUAGUGGCUUACCAAGGUUUUGCCGGGUAGCCGGCCCGAGAGGUGGACCGGCCACAUUGGGACUGGGAUACGGCCCAGACUCCUACGGGAGGCAGCAGUGGGGAAUAUUGCACAAUGGGCGGAAGCCUGAUGCAGCAACGCCGCGUGCGGGAUGACGGCCUUCGGGUUGUAAACCGCUUUCGCCUGUGACGAAGCGUGAGUGACGGUAAUGGGUAAAGAAGCACCGGCUAACUACGUG